This 355-nucleotide ribosomal RNA is filed under the name uncultured bacterium. Its description in RNAcentral is "bacterial SSU rRNA". It matches the Rfam family "Bacterial small subunit ribosomal RNA", at positions 8 to 350 of the family's 1533-position model. The record is from RNAcentral.
AGAGUUUGAUCAUGGCUCAGGAUGAACGCUAGCUACAGGCUUAACACAUGCAAGUCGAGGGGAAACGACAUCGAAAGCUUGCUUUUGAUGGGCGUCGACCGGCGCACGGGUGAGUAACGCGUAUCCAACCUGCCCACCACUUGGGGAUAACCUUGCGAAAGUAAGACUAAUACCCAAUGACGUCUCUAGAAGACAUCUGAAGGAGAUUAAAGAUUUAUCGGUGAUGGAUGGGGAUGCGUCUGAUUAGCUUGUUGGCGGGGUAACGGCCACCAAGGCGACGAUCAGGUAGGGGUUCUGGAGAGGGAAGGUCCCCCACAUUGGAACUGAGACACGGUACAAACUCCUACGGGAGGCA